GCCAGCAUGACAUAGUGGUUUGAGCGUUGGUCUCUGACUCCAAAGUCCAGGGUUCGAUUCCCCGUUCAGCCA
Molecule: non-coding RNA, 72 nt
Organism: Phrynosoma platyrhinos (Desert horned lizard)
Lineage: Eukaryota; Metazoa; Chordata; Lepidosauria; Squamata; Phrynosomatidae
Source: the annotation of a GenBank genome assembly